AUUGAACGCUGGCGGUAUGCUUAACACAUGCAAGUCGAACGAGAAAGCCCGGCUUCGGUUGGGCGAGUAAAGUGGCGAACGGGUGAGUAACACGUGGGCAAUCUACCCUUAAAUCUGGGAUAAUCCUCCGAAAGGAGGUCUAAUACCGGAUAAUACCUCCGGAUGGCAUCAUCUGAAGGUCAAAGGCGGGGCAACCUGCUGUUUAGGGAUGAGCCCGCGCCCCAUUAGCUUGUUGGUGAGGUAACGGCUCACCAAGGCUGCGAUGGGUAGCCGGCCUGAGAGGGUGAUCGGCCACACUGGGACUGAGAUACGGCCCAGACUCCUACGGGUGGCAG
Molecule: ribosomal RNA, 335 nt
Filed under: uncultured bacterium
Lineage: Bacteria
Description: bacterial SSU rRNA
Rfam family: Bacterial small subunit ribosomal RNA
Source: RNAcentral